This 74-nucleotide transfer RNA is filed under the name Rhipicephalus microplus (southern cattle tick). RNAcentral describes it as "tRNA-Arg". It matches the Rfam family "tRNA". Rfam says of the family: Transfer RNA (tRNA) molecules are approximately 80 nucleotides in length. Their secondary structure includes four short double-helical elements and three loops (D, anti-codon, and T loops). Further hydrogen bonds mediate the characteristic L-shaped molecular structure. tRNAs have two regions of fundamental functional importance: the anti-codon, which is responsible for specific mRNA codon recognition, and the 3' end, to which the tRNAs corresponding amino acid is attached (by aminoacyl-tRNA synthetases). tRNAs cope with the degeneracy of the genetic code in two manners: having more than one tRNA (with a specific anti-codon) for a particular amino acid; and 'wobble' base-pairing, i.e. permitting non-standard base-pairing at the 3rd anti-codon position. Lineage: Eukaryota; Metazoa; Arthropoda; Arachnida; Ixodida; Ixodidae. The record is from Rfam by way of RNAcentral.
GCCCUCGUGGCCUAACGGAUAAGGCAUCGGUCUUCUAAACCGGGGGAUUGCGGGUUCGAGUCCCGCCGAGGGUG